UACGAAGGCCCCGAGCGUUAUCCGGAAUAACUGGGCGUAAAGGACAGGUAGCCGGUUGGUAUAGUCUGAUGUCAAAACUCAUGGCUCAACUAUGAGACUGCAUCAGAAACGUAUCAACUAGAGUAAGUCAGAGGCAAGCAGAACGUGCGGUGUAGGGGUGAAAUCCGUUGAUAUCGCACGGAAUACCAAAAGCGAAGGCAGCUUGCUAGGGCUUUACUGACGGUCAACUGUGAAAGCGUGGGGAUCAAAAAGG
RNAcentral lists this ribosomal RNA (253 nucleotides) under uncultured bacterium. RNAcentral describes it as "partial 16S ribosomal RNA". It matches the Rfam family "Bacterial small subunit ribosomal RNA", at positions 524 to 776 of the family's 1533-position model. The record is from RNAcentral.